AUUGAACGCUGGCGGCAUGCUUUACACAUGCAAGUCGAACGGCAGCGCGGGCUUCGGCCUGGCGGCGAGUGGCGAACGGGUGAGUAAUGCAUCGGAACGUGCCCCGCAGUGGGGGAUAGCACGGCGAAAGCCGGAUUAAUACCGCAUACGACCUGCGGGUGAAAGCGGGGGACCGAAAGGCCUCGCGCUAUUGGAGCGGCCGAUGUCGGAUUUGCUAGUUGGUGGGGUAAAGGCUUACCAAGGCGACGAUCCGUAGCUGGUCUGAGUGGACGACCAGCCACACUGGGACUGAGACACGGCCCAGACGCCUACGGGAGGCAGCAGUGGGGAAUUUUGGACAAAGGGGGCAACCCUGAUCCAGCCAUGCCGCGUGCGGGAAGAAGGCCUUCGGGGUGUAAACCGCUUUUGUUCGGGAAGAAAUCCUCUGGGCUAAUACCCCGGGGGGAUGACGGUACCGGAAGAAUAAGCACCGGCUAACUACGUG
This 484-nucleotide ribosomal RNA is filed under the name uncultured bacterium. RNAcentral's name for it is "partial 16S ribosomal RNA". It matches the Rfam family "Bacterial small subunit ribosomal RNA", at positions 28 to 507 of the family's 1533-position model. The record is from RNAcentral.